Molecule: non-coding RNA, 29 nt
Filed under: Homo sapiens (human)
Lineage: Eukaryota; Metazoa; Chordata; Mammalia; Primates; Hominidae
Source: RNAcentral
UACUCAUUAUGGGCCAGGUACAGAGAUGA